RNAcentral lists this unclassified non-coding RNA (553 nucleotides) under Hevea brasiliensis (rubber tree). The record is from RNAcentral. Lineage: Eukaryota; Viridiplantae; Streptophyta; Magnoliopsida; Malpighiales; Euphorbiaceae.
AAGGAAUGAAUAAUCGAACUAAUACCGAACAAGAUAAUAAAGGCUUUCACUUAGAUUCUAGGGUACUAUGGUUCCAUUAAUAUUUACAUUAUCACAAUGAACAAGAGUACAAGACAACAAUGAGAUAGACAAAGAAAUUAUGACUUCACGUAUCUUAUUUGGCAUAAUUCAAACUUCAUAAUAUAAGGUUAAAUGUUACUGAAUCAAGGGACUGUUCCAGGACAGCUGUCCCAUAAAAAUGAUUUAGACAGUGUUAAGACAUACAGCUAUAGACAUGCUAUUGCAUGUACAAAUCUCACCAAAAAUUGAUAGAGAUACCCAUACAUUUAUCUUUAAAACUACAGCAAAAUCUUUACUGCCUACGUGAAUUAAGAGAAGCAACCACAGGUCCAAAUGUUUCAUCCACAGCUUUGUUCCACAUAAGUUCAAACUGCGAGCGAAAUUGCUUUCCAAAUAUGGGCUUUCUCAACUGAGAUUGGGCAUCGAAUUGAUUACAGUCAGCAGAAAUAGACUCGUAGAUGCGUUUCCUUUGCUCAAAAACAACAAAACCCAC